CUCAGAACGAACGCUGGCGGCAGGCCUAACACAUGCAAGUCGAACGGAUCCCUUCGGGAUUAGUGGCAGACGGGUGAGUAACGCGUGGGAAGCUACCUUGUGGUAGGGAACAACAGUUGGAAACGACUGCUAAUACCCUAUGAGCCCUAUGGGGGAAAGAUUUAUCGCCAUGAGAUGUGCCCGCGUUAGAUUAGCUAGUUGGUAAGGUAAUGGCUUACCAAGGCGACGAUCUAUAGCUGGUCUGAGAGGAUGAUCAGCCACACUGGGACUGAGACACGGCCCAGACUCCUACGGGAGGCAGCAGUGGGGAAUAUUGGACAAUGGGGGCAACCCUGAUCCAGCCAUGCCGCGUGAGUGAUGACGGCCUUAGGGUUGUAAAGCUCUUUCAGCAGUGAAGAUAAUGACAUUAACUGCAGAAGAAGCCCCGGCUAACUUCGUGCCAGCAGCCGCGGUAAUACGAAGGGGGCUAGCGUUGUUCGGAAUCACUGGGCGUAAAGCGUACGUAGGCGGACUGAUCAGUCAGGGGUGAAAUCCCGGGGCUCAACCCCGGAACUGCCUUUGAUACUGUCAGUCUUGAGAUCGAGAGAGGUGAGUGGAACUCCGAGUGUAGAGGUGAAAUUCGUAGAUAUUCGGAAGAACACCAGUGGCGAAGGCGGCUCACUGGCUCGAUACCUGACG
RNAcentral lists this ribosomal RNA (678 nucleotides) under Pseudovibrio sp. RNAcentral's name for it is "bacterial SSU rRNA". It matches the Rfam family "Bacterial small subunit ribosomal RNA", at positions 23 to 745 of the family's 1533-position model. The record is from RNAcentral. Lineage: Bacteria; Pseudomonadati; Pseudomonadota; Alphaproteobacteria; Hyphomicrobiales; Stappiaceae.